This 844-nucleotide long non-coding RNA is filed under the name Marmota monax (woodchuck). The record is from RNAcentral. Lineage: Eukaryota; Metazoa; Chordata; Mammalia; Rodentia; Sciuridae.
GUUCAUCAUGGAAGAGCUAAAGGUGGGUUUCUGCUAUCAAAGGUGCUUCCUGGGAGAACUCCAUCCUGGAGAGGGAGAUGUCCCUCACUGUGUAUGCAACCUGACUCUGUCAAGUGACAUAGUAUAAAUAUGGGAAGAGGAGACCUGAAAGAGGGGCAGGUAUUGUGACGUAAGAUUGGUACUUGCCAAUUACUUGAUGCUGAGCAAUGCUUAUGGUUGCACUUUAUCUCUCAUACAGGUUUGUUCAUGAAGAAAAAUAGAACCAAGAGACAAACUACACAGCAUUAGCACAUUGGCCAGGUUGUAUACACAGUGAAGGGCACCUCACUCUCCAGGCUGGAGUUCUCCCAGGAAGCACCUCUGAUGGCAAAAACCCCCCAAGAAUUGACCAUCUUGGGGAGGGGAUAUGGCCACAUAUUCUUUUUGAAGAGCUAGGUAUUAUUUUUGCCCUGGAACCUGCAAAGAAGCCCCAAACUAUGUUUAUACAUAACCCCUAGGGGCCCCUUUCUCUCUGAAAUGAUAACUAAUUGGUCAAAACAUUUCUUAAUGGGGAUGAACUAACAUAACACAAUGUAACAAAAUGAGUGGAAUCACCCUUCAGUCCAUCUUCUCUGUUCCCAAGCUCCCGGAACCUCCUCACCUUGUUAGAAAGUGGAGGCUGGGAGGUGAAGGAGUCCUGCAUCUUGGCCUCUGCCCCACCAGCCCAGAGGCUGGAACCCUGCUGUCCUGUACCAAGCUCCCUCUCCAUCGUCCACUGGUUGUUUCCAGGACUGGGCAAGAAUUCUACUGUGUGAAGAUGAAUUGGCAGAAUUUUGCCAAAGGUUGUGGUGGAAGGAGUCACCCC